GAUGAACGCUAGCUACAGGCUUAACACAUGCAAGUCGAGGGGAAACGGCAUUUAGUGCUUGCACCGAAUGGACGUCGACCGGCGCACGGGUGAGUAACGCGUAUCCAACCUACCCAUUACUGUGGGAUAACCUGCCGAAAGGCAGACUAAUACCGCAUAGUCUUCGAUGACGGCAUCAGAUUUGAAGUAAAGAUUUAUCGGUAAUGGAUGGGGAUGCGUCUGAUUAGCUUGUUGGCGGGGUAACGGCCCACCAAGGCAACGAUCAGUAGGGGUUCUGAGAGGAAGGUCCCCCACAUUGGAACUGAGACACGGUCCAAACUCCUACGGGAGGCAGCAGUGAGGAAUAUUGGUCAAUGGGCGAGAGCCUGAACCAGCCAAGUAGCGUGCAGGAAGACGGCCCUAUGGGUUGUAAACUGCUUUUAUGUGGGGAUAAAGUGAGCUACGUGUAGUUUAUUGCAGGUACCACAUGAAUAAGGACCGGCUAAUUCCGUGCCAGCAGCCGCGGUAAUACGGAAGGUCCAGGCGUUAUCCGGAUUUAUUGGGUUUAAAGGGAGCGUAGGCCGUGGAUUAAGCGUGUUGUGAAAUGUAGACGCUCAACGUCUGAAUUGCAGCGCGAACUGGUUCACUUGAGUAUGCACAACGUAGGCGGAAUUCGUCGUGUAGCGGUGAAAUGCUUAGAUAUGACGAAGAACUCCGAUUGCGAAGGCAGCUUACGGGAGCACAGCUGACGCUGAAGCUCGAAGGUGCGGGUAUCAAACAGG
Molecule: ribosomal RNA, 761 nt
Filed under: uncultured Prevotella sp.
Lineage: Bacteria; Pseudomonadati; Bacteroidota; Bacteroidia; Bacteroidales; Prevotellaceae
Description: bacterial SSU rRNA
Rfam family: Bacterial small subunit ribosomal RNA
Source: RNAcentral